This is a long non-coding RNA of Sinocyclocheilus grahami, 329 nucleotides long. RefSeq lists it as uncharacterized. Lineage: Eukaryota; Metazoa; Chordata; Actinopteri; Cypriniformes; Cyprinidae. The transcript has 3 exons. The record is from RefSeq and is a predicted model, not a curated record.
CGGUCAUGUGACUCAGCAUGGCGUCAUCACGAGGAAUAAUCCCGCACCUGUAAACAGCUUUGCUCUUCAGUCUUCACGUCUUCAUGUGAGAAGAACAUGUAAUGCUAUAUGUAGGACACUGACUUAAACUGCUUGACCUCUGGCAAGGGUGGUCAAAGGUCAACUCACUUGACAUCUCUGCCCGCAUCUUACUGAUGAACACACUCGGACCGCGUCUGAUGAGCGCUUCAAUGCACAUCUGUGCAUGGCAAGAGGCAUUUUUAAUUUCACUGGAGGAUAAAAAGCCAGCGGCAGAGCUCCAUCCAUUUUGUAUGGUACCUUAAUUUCAC